RNAcentral lists this ribosomal RNA (1443 nucleotides) under uncultured organism. RNAcentral's name for it is "SSU rRNA". It matches the Rfam family "Bacterial small subunit ribosomal RNA". The record is from RNAcentral.
GCUACAGGCUUGACACAUGCAAGUCGGGGGGCAGCAUUUCAGUUUGCUUGCAAACUGGAGAUGGCGACCGGCGCACGGGUGAGUAACACGUAUCCAACCUGCCGAUAACUCGGGGAUAGCCUUUCGAAAGAAAGAUUAAUACCCGAUGGUAUAAUCAGACCGCAUGGUCUUGUUAUUAAAGAAUUUCGGUUAUCGAUGGGGAUGCGUUCCAUUAGGCAGUUGGUGAGGUAACGGCUCACCAAACCUUCGAUGGAUAGGGGUUCUGAGAGGAAGGUCCCCCACAUUGGAACUGAGACACGGUCCAAACUCCUACGGGAGGCAGCAGUGAGGAAUAUUGGUCAAUGGGCGCAGGCCUGAACCAGCCAAGUAGCGUGAAGGAUGACUGCCCUAUGGGUUGUAAACUUCUUUUAUAUGGGAAUAAAGUUUUCCACGUGUGGAAUUUUGUAUGUACCAUAUGAAUAAGGAUCGGCUAACUCCGUGCCAGCAGCCGCGGUAAUACGGAGGAUCCGAGCGUUAUCCGGAUUUAUUGGGUUUAAAGGGAGCGUAGGUGGACAGUUAAGUCAGUUGUGAAAGUUUGCGGCUCAACCGUAAAAUUGCAGUUGAUACUGGCUGUCUUGAGUACAGUAGAGGUGGGCGGAAUUCGUGGUGUAGCGGUGAAAUGCUUAGAUAUCACGAAGAACUCCGAUUGCGAAGGCAGCUCACUGGACUGCAACUGACACUGAUGCUCGAAAGUGUGGGUAUCAAACAGGAUUAGAUACCCUGGUAGUCCACACAGUAAACGAUGAAUACUCGCUGUUUGCGAUAUACAGUAAGCGGCCAAGCGAAAGCAUUAAGUAUUCCACCUGGGGAGUACGCCGGCAACGGUGAAACUCAAAGGAAUUGACGGGGGCCCGCACAAGCGGAGGAACAUGUGGUUUAAUUCGAUGAUACGCGAGGAACCUUACCCGGGCUUAAAUUGCAUUUGAAUAUAUUGGAAACAGUAUAGCCGUAAGGCAAAUGUGAAGGUGCUGCAUGGUUGUCGUCAGCUCGUGCCGUGAGGUGUCGGCUUAAGUGCCAUAACGAGCGCAACCCUUAUCUUUAGUUACUAACAGGUCAUGCUGAGGACUCUAGAGAGACUGCCGUCGUAAGAUGUGAGGAAGGUGGGGAUGACGUCAAAUCAGCACGGCCCUUACGUCCGGGGCUACACACGUGUUACAAUGGGGGGUACAGAAGGCAGCUACCUGGUGACAGGAUGCUAAUCCCAAAAGCCUCUCUCAGUUCGGAUCGAAGUCUGCAACCCGACUUCGUGAAGCUGGAUUCGCUAGUAAUCGCGCAUCAGCCAUGGCGCGGUGAAUACGUUCCCGGGCCUUGUACACACCGCCCGUCAAGCCAUGAAAGCCGGGGGUACCUGAAGUACGUAACCGCAAGGAGCGUCCUAGGGUAAAACUGGUAAUUGGGGCUAAG